UUUAAAAAUGCAUUAAGUUUAGACUCCAUAGAGCUAUUGAGUCAUCCAUAAUUUGAAAGGUCCAUAACGGUCGUUGAAUCCGUUAGAAAAUAGUGCCCGAAGCUCCAAAGCCACAGAGAACACAGUCACAAACUCAACAGUACACACAAACAGAGCCAUGGCGUGCAGCAGCAUGAUAACGCUCUCUCGCCCCACUCUCUCUCCCUCUUCUUCUUCUUCUUCAUCUUCUACUGCCCCUAGUUUUCUUCCUCCUAAUCCUCUCUGCCACGUCACCACUCUUCCCCGCUUCCGAUCCUUCAGAUCAAAAUCUCUCAGCUCCUCCAAGAAACAGCUCUCAGUUUCGGCUUCGGCUUCCCUACAAGCUCUGGUAUUCGACUGCGACGGCGUGAUCCUCGAGUCCGAGCACUUGCACCGCCAGGCCUACAACGAUGCCUUCGCUCAUUUCAAUGUCCGUUGCCCUUCUUCUUCUGAUGAAUCACAACAGCCUCUCAAUUGGGGCAUCGAUUUCUACGACCAGCUCCAGAAUCGCAUCGGAGGCGGCAAACCUAAAAUGCGAUGGUACUUUGGGGAGCACGGUUGGCCGAUUUCAACGAUAUUCGAGAAGCCUCCCGAGGCCGAUGAGGACAGAGUCAAGUUGAUCGACACUCUUCAGGAUUGGAAGACUGAAAUGUACAAAGAAAUCAUCAAAUCUGGAACUGUGGAACCUAGACCUGGGGUUUUGAGAUUGAUGGAUGAGGCCAAGGCUGCUGGUAAAAAACUAGCUGUUUGCUCUGCAGCGACUAAAAGUUCAGUUAUACUCUGUCUUGAAAACCUUAUAGGAAUUGAGCGCUUUCAAAGUCUUGAUUGUUUCCUGGCAGGUGAUGAUGUGAAGGAAAAGAAGCCUGAUCCUUCAAUUUAUCUGACAGCUUCCAAUAGGCUGGGCGUGUCACCAAGAGAUUGUUUGGUAGUGGAAGAUAGCGUUAUUGGACUACAGCCUUUUCAACCAUGAUGAAUCCUAGAGAAAACUAAAUUUGUAGGCUGCAACAAGAGCAGGGAUGUCAUGUGUGAUUACCUACACAUCUUCAACAGCUGAACAGGAUUUUAAAGAUGCAAUAGCCAUCUAUCCAGAUUUGAGUAAUUUGAGAUUGAAAGACCUGGAGUUAUUACUUCAAAAAGUGGUCCCUGCCAGUUAAAAACUGCGUCGAUUUUUUCUAAACUUCCAGAAGAGCCUGUGUAGGUUUUGUAGAAUUUUGGUUGUGAUUGAAGUUUACCCAUUCAUCUAUGGCAUUUUCAUUGAAGUUGAAAAAUCACCCUUUUGAUUUACUCUGGAAAAAAAAAGGGUGGGGGGGAGGGGGUGUUUCUAUAGAUGGUCCUUAUACAGAAUCACCAAAAAUGUAAAGUUUGUGAAAUGAUUUGAUUGAAAGGCAUUCCACCAAUAGAGCUCAUUCUCUCUCUUUAAAACGAUCAUUAAAUAUUGAAUGACACCGUUUUAUUCAUGA
Molecule: RNA transcript, 1478 nt
Organism: Quercus lobata
Lineage: Eukaryota; Viridiplantae; Streptophyta; Magnoliopsida; Fagales; Fagaceae
Gene name: Haloacid dehalogenase-like hydrolase (HAD) superfamily protein
Exons: 11
Source: RefSeq, a predicted model, not a curated record